GACGAACGCUGGCGGCGUGCUUAACACAUGCAAGUCGAACGGUAAGGCCCUUCGGGGUACACGAGUGGCGAACGGGUGAGUAACACGUGGGUGAUCUGCCCUGCACUUCGGGAUAAGCCUGGGAAAUUGGGUCUAAUACCGGAUAGGACCACUGCCUGCAUGGGUGGUGGUGGAAAGCUUUUGCGGUGUGGGAUGGGCCCGCGGCCUAUCAGCUUGUUGGUGGGGUGAUGGCCUACCAAGGCGACGACGGGUAGCCGGCCUGAGAGGGUGACCGGCCACCCUGGGACUGAGAUACGGCCCAGACUCCUACGGGAGGCAGCAGUGGGGAAUAUUGCCCAAUGGGCGCAAGCCUGAUGCAGCGACGCCGCGUGAGGGAUGACGGCCUUCGGGUUGUAAACCUCUUUCAGCACCGACGAAGCGCAAGUGACGGUAGGUGCAGAAGAAGGACCGGCCAACUAUGUGCCAGCCGCCGCCGUAA
This 478-nucleotide ribosomal RNA is filed under the name uncultured bacterium. RNAcentral describes it as "partial 16S ribosomal RNA". It matches the Rfam family "Bacterial small subunit ribosomal RNA", at positions 28 to 523 of the family's 1533-position model. The record is from RNAcentral.